ACGCUCGACACCUACGGGAGGCAGCAGUGGGGAAUAUUGCACAAUGGGGGAAACCCUGAUGCAGCGACGCCGCGUGAGUGAAGAAGUAUUUCGGUAUGUAAAGCUCUAUCAGCAGGGAAGAAAAUGACGGUACCUGACUAAGAAGCCCCGGCUAACUACGUGCUAGCAGCCGCGGUAAUCUGAGCGGCUGGCAAGGC
Molecule: ribosomal RNA, 197 nt
Filed under: uncultured bacterium
Lineage: Bacteria
Description: partial 16S ribosomal RNA
Rfam family: Bacterial small subunit ribosomal RNA
Source: RNAcentral